Neogale vison (American mink) is the source of this 876-nucleotide long non-coding RNA. RefSeq lists it as uncharacterized. The record is from RefSeq and is a predicted model, not a curated record. The transcript is spliced from 5 exons. NCBI's taxonomy places the organism in Eukaryota, Metazoa, Chordata, Mammalia, Carnivora, Mustelidae.
UAGCUAGGAGUGGGAUUGCAGGGUUGUAUGAUAAAUGUAUUUUUAACUUUAUAAGAAACUGCCAAAUUGUUUCCUAAAGUGUCUGGGCCAUGUUGCAUUCCCACCAGUAAUGUGUGAAAGUUCCAGUUGCUCUGCAUCCAUGUCAGCAAUUGUUAGGGUCUUGUGGGAAUGCUCUGGAACAUGAUUAUUGUGCUUACGAUUCAGCCUUCCCAGUCUUCAUUUAUUGGUCAGUGAUAGACAAUGGAAAUGUUUUUCUGGACAAACUCCACCACUUCUGGACAAGGGUUUCCACCAAGGCAAAUUUUCAGAACUCCAUACUCAGUGUAAUUCCCAAAGAAUGGGCUCUUCAGUCUUGAAUAAGAUCACAUACAGGGCCUCAACAUUAUAAUCCACAUUGGAAUUCAUACACUGGAAUGAGAAUCAAGAAAUUCUAUUCCUGUGAACAGGUUGGAGACUUUCUUCGGUUGGACGACUUUGUUGCUUGCUUGUUCUCGGUGACGAGAUAUCACAGUAAGAUGAGGAACUGAAAGGAAUGGCACUGAAACUGAAAUUUUCUGAGAGUUGUAACAAGUAUUUAUCUAUUCUGGAUGCAGGUCUUUAGAAGAUUUUUGUCCCUCCUGUCUGGUUCUGGUUGGAGAGUUUACCGCUCCAUCGGUUAAGAGAGGCUGAAAAUGGUCUCACUCUUUUGGAAGCUGGAACUACCUCCACAAAGAAAUAUUCUUCUUCAUAACCACAUAUUAAUAAAGUAGCUUAAACAUUCCUAAGAAAGGAUUUUUUUUUUUUUUUUAACACUAAUUGAGGACAUAUGCUGCCUGAGGAAAAAAAUUGGAAGACCCAGUUCUGGUCCUCAAGGAAUUUGCAAUCUCGUUAAGGUUG